GAUGAAGAACGUAGCGAAAUGCGAUAAGUAGUGUGAAUUGCAGAAUUCCGUGAAUCAUCGAAUCUUUGAACGCACAUUGCGCCCGCUGGUAUUCCGGCGGGCAUGCCUGUUCGAGCGUCAUUUCAACCCUCAAGCUCUCCGGAGUUUGGUGUUGGGGCGCCUGGGGCUUUUCGACCUCAGGGCCCUCAAGUCCAUCGGCGGGACCGCCAGGACACUGAGCGCAGUAGUAUUAUUUCGCUCGGUAGGAUCUUCCACGGCGGGUCGAUCUGGCCGCUAAACCCCCCAAUUCUCACCAAAGGUUGACCUCGGAUCAGGUAGGAAUACCCGCUGAACUUAAGCAUAUCAAUAAGCGGAGGA
Molecule: unclassified non-coding RNA, 357 nt
Filed under: soil metagenome
Description: partial contains 5.8S ribosomal RNA, internal transcribed spacer 2, and large subunit ribosomal RNA
Rfam family: 5.8S ribosomal RNA (bases 1-120)
Source: RNAcentral